GGGGUCCACUUGGCAAUGGCUCUCUCUUAGGAUGACAUGUGGGUCCUUUGGACCCACUCUCACACACACACACACUACUCUACAUGUGCUACAGCCUCUCAGACAUACACACAUACACAUACACAUGGAAAACAAAAUACAAAGAAAAGGUGCCAAGGGGGGGGCGAACCCACCACUUCCCUGGUAGAACUAACCUACUCCACCACUGGGCUAUCAUCUCAGUGCUGCACUAUAGGGAGAACCACAGGAAGUAAGGUGUCUCUGUUGAUAAUGCACAGGAAAAUUAAAUCAAUCAACAAAAGGGGUCCACUUGGCAAUGGCUCUCUCUUAGGAUGACAUGUGGGUCCUUUGGACCCACUCUCACACACACACACACUACUCUACAUGUGCUACAGCCUCUCAGACAUACACACAUACACAUACACAUACACAUGGAAAACAAAAUACAAAGAAAAGGUGCCAAGGGGGGGGCGAACCCACCACUUCCCUGGUAGAACUAACCUACUCCACCACUGGGCUAUCAUCUCAGUGCUGCACUAUGGGGAGAACCACAGGAAGUAAGGUGUCAUAAUGCACAGGAAAAUUAAAUCAAUCAACAAAAGGG
This 604-nucleotide long non-coding RNA is filed under the name Hordeum vulgare. RNAcentral's name for it is "long non-coding RNA (HVUL_LNC019678)". Lineage: Eukaryota; Viridiplantae; Streptophyta; Magnoliopsida; Poales; Poaceae. The record is from RNAcentral.